Molecule: long non-coding RNA, 372 nt
Filed under: Panax ginseng (ginseng)
Lineage: Eukaryota; Viridiplantae; Streptophyta; Magnoliopsida; Apiales; Araliaceae
Description: long non-coding RNA (PGIN_LNC007673)
Source: RNAcentral
UUAGACUCAGUAAUUACCCGAUAAAGCUGUCGGUACGCCGACAAAUGUCAGACCCUAUAAUAGAAAGAAAAGGCUUCUGUAAGAGCAUGGAUGAGAUAUUUGAAAAAUGUAUAAAAAUAUUUCAAGUAUAGAAUAUGAACUAAAAGUAUGAUCACUGCGAUUAUGUGAUGACGUGAUUAGACUAUGUGCUGACUGUAAUAGACAGUACUAUGUGUUAUGAUAUAUUGUUCUAAUCGAACGAAUGAUCUGAUUAUUGAUAGGUUGUGAUAAAGAGAUAAAACCUAAGUUGAGAUUUGUAAUCAGCAAAUCAGGCAAGUAUCUUACCUUUGCAUUUCCUUUAUGCAAUGGACAUGAGUAAGAAGUUUCAGAAUU